RNAcentral lists this ribosomal RNA (1810 nucleotides) under Klebsiella pneumoniae. RNAcentral describes it as "partial 23S ribosomal RNA". It matches the Rfam family "Bacterial large subunit ribosomal RNA", at positions 357 to 2157 of the family's 2925-position model. Lineage: Bacteria; Pseudomonadati; Pseudomonadota; Gammaproteobacteria; Enterobacterales; Enterobacteriaceae. The record is from RNAcentral.
GUACAGGGUGAUAGUCCCGUACACCAAAAUGCACAGGCUGUGAACUCGAAGAGUAGGGCGGGACACGUGGUAUCCUGUCUGAAUAUGGGGGGACCAUCCUCCAAGGCUAAAUACUCCUGACUGACCGAUAGUGAACCAGUACCGUGAGGGAAAGGCGAAAAGAACCCCGGCGAGGGGAGUGAAAAAGAACCUGAAACCGUGUACGUACAAGCAGUGGGAGCACCUUCGGGUGUGACUGCGUACCUUUUGUAUAAUGGGUCAGCGACUUAUAUUCUGUAGCAAGGUUAACCGUAUAGGGGAGCCGCAGGGAAACCGAGUCUUAACUGGGCGUUAAGUUGCAGGGUAUAGACCCGAAACCCGGUGAUCUAGCCAUGGGCAGGUUGAAGGUUGGGUAACACUAACUGGAGGACCGAACCGACUAAUGUUGAAAAAUUAGCGGAUGACUUGUGGCUGGGGGUGAAAGGCCAAUCAAACCGGGAGAUAGCUGGUUCUCCCCGAAAGCUAUUUAGGUAGCGCCUCGUGAAUUCAUCUUCGGGGGUAGAGCACUGUUUCGGCUAGGGGGUCAUCCCGACUUACCAACCCGAUGCAAACUACGAAUACCGAAGAAUGUUAUCACGGGAGACACACGGCGGGUGCUAACGUCCGUCGUGAAGAGGGAAACAACCCAGACCGCCAGCUAAGGUCCCAAAGUCAUGGUUAAGUGGGAAACGAUGUGGGAAGGCACAGACAGCCAGGAUGUUGGCUUAGAAGCAGCCAUCAUUUAAAGAAAGCGUAAUAGCUCACUGGUCGAGUCGGCCUGCGCGGAAGAUGUAACGGGGCUAAACCAUGCACCGAAGCUGCGGCAGCGACACUAUGUGUUGUUGGGUAGGGGAGCGUUCUGUAAGCCUGCGAAGGUGACCUGUGAGGGUUGCUGGAGGUAUCAGAAGUGCGAAUGCUGACAUAAGUAACGAUAAAGCGGGUGAAAAGCCCGCUCGCCGGAAGACCAAGGGUUCCUGUCCAACGUUAAUCGGGGCAGGGUGAGUCGACCCCUAAGGCGAGGCCGAAAGGCGUAGUCGAUGGGAAACAGGUUAAUAUUCCUGUACUUGGUGUUACUGCGAAGGGGGGACGGAGAAGGCUAUGUUAGCCGGGCGACGGUUGUCCCGGUUUAAGCAUGUAGGCUGGUUAUCCAGGCAAAUCCGGAUAAUCAAGGCUGAGGUGUGAUGACGAGGCACUACGGUGCUGAAGUAACAAAUGCCCUGCUUCCAGGAAAAGCCUCUAAGCAUCAGGUAACAUCAAAUCGUACCCCAAACCGACACAGGUGGUCAGGUAGAGAAUACCAAGGCGCUUGAGAGAACUCGGGUGAAGGAACUAGGCAAAAUGGUGCCGUAACUUCGGGAGAAGGCACGCUGGUGUGUAGGUGAAGUCCCUGCGGAUGGAGCUGAGACCAGUCGAAGAUACCAGCUGGCUGCAACUGUUUAUUAAAAACACAGCACUGUGCAAACACGAAAGUGGACGUAUACGGUGUGACGCCUGCCCGGUGCCGGAAGGUUAAUUGAUGGGGUUAUCCGUAAGGAGAAGCUCUUGAUCGAAGCCCCGGUAAACGGCGGCCGUAACUAUAACGGUCCUAAGGUAGCGAAAUUCCUUGUCGGGUAAGUUCCGACCUGCACGAAUGGCGUAAUGAUGGCCAGGCUGUCUCCACCCGAGACUCAGUGAAAUUGAACUCGCUGUGAAGAUGCAGUGUACCCGCGGCAAGACGGAAAGACCCCGUGAACCUUUACUAUAGCUUGACACUGAACAUUGAGCCUUGAUGUGUAGGAUAGGUGGGAGGCUU